This is a long non-coding RNA of Populus trichocarpa (black cottonwood), 625 nucleotides long. RefSeq lists it as uncharacterized. Lineage: Eukaryota; Viridiplantae; Streptophyta; Magnoliopsida; Malpighiales; Salicaceae. The record is from RefSeq and is a predicted model, not a curated record. The transcript is spliced from 2 exons.
CCUUGAGUAGCUCCGCUCCUAUACAAUCGAAAUAACAGCGCACAAAACCCUUACUUCAAAUUCCAAUAACUAAUUUUCUUUUCAACAGGGGGGAAUACGCAAUUGCAUGCGCACACACUCGUAUUCUUAUAUUUGGAUUCUCAAUUUAAGUAGAUAAUCACGUAUUUAAUUCAGUAUAUUUGCUUGCUCAACCAAAAAAAUCAACUGUUCAGUUAUUUGGAAUACAUAAUCAAAGCAAAGCACAAUUAAUUCUUAGGAAAACACAAAACCCUUGCUUCAAAUUCCAAUAACUAAUUUGCUUUUCAACAGGGGGGCAUACGCACUUACAUGCGCACACAAGUGUAUUCUUCUAUUUGGAGUCUUAAUUUAAUUCAGUAUAUUUGCUUGCUCAACCAACAAAAUUCAACUUUUCAGUUAUUUGGAAUACAUAAUCAAAACAAAGCAAAAUUAAUUCUUAGGAAAACAAAUUCAAUUCAUCUUCUUGUAACCAAACAAAUCAGAACCCAAAUCGUCCAUAAACUUCAGCCACGGCCCCUAUGUCUUUCAAUAUUUUAGUCAAAAGUUCUCUUAAUUUUUAGAGUAUUAUGAAUUAAAAACUAAAUCAAAGCAAGGCAAAAAAAAAAUC